UUCUGAUGACUUUACCACACUAACUGCCUCUGGUAAGGUUGACCUAUCACAAUUCCUCCCCCACUGGGUUCUCCACAGUGUAUCAAAACGACCAGUACUAAAACCCUUCCCAUGAAAUAAACACCUUCUGAGCUUUGGCGCCCACUAAAGGCUAAGGAGUUUAAUUUAUAAAGAGUGAUUUUCAUCUAAAGUCAUCAAAUUAGUUAAAUCCGGUUUUAAAAAAUAAUCUUGCACAGGAAUAUGGUCAUAAAUACUAACAUAUAAUUUUCAAACAUUAUCUUAGUACAUUAGUGUAGAAAUAAAUUGAGGUUUUAUCCCCUGUAUUUUAUCCUCAAUUAGGGCCUUUGGAUACAAAAAUGGCAGAAAAUGAUAAUAGUAAGAGGAAUAAGGAUCCAUUAUGGCUGUGCAGAAGCAGGACAUCUGGAGCUAGAAGCCGAAAGUUUACAUCUUAAACUGCAAGCAGAGAGCCAACUCAAAGAGCAACUCUAUAAACGCUCAAAGCUGGCCUCCAGUAACAUGCUGUCUCCAGCAAGGACUGCCUCCUGAGCCUGUCCAACUGGGCUGCCAACUGAGGCCACACAUUCAAACGCUGAGGCUGUAGGAGACAUCGCAUUCAAACCAGUACAGCCAUACAACUAAGAAAGGAAGACAUCUAUGGAGAGAUUUUUAUAAUAAUAAAAUUGACAGAAACAUACAUGUGCCUUUGUUCUCUUAGACUUAAUACAAUCCUUCUUUGGCUUAGGACCUUCAGUUGUGAUCAUCUUUGAAGUGACUGAUUCUAAUGAGCUCCCAUAUAAUCGUUGAAAACGAUGAUACUUCUGCAAACGUGAAAGAUAAUAGGGGUCUUUUUUGUCUGAAAAAAAGAAAAAAUGUAAAUAAAAUUUCUAUGAUUUAUUAGUAGCAUCUCUCUAAAUCUUCACAUCAUUCUGUACCCAGGCAGUAUUCAUUCUAUUAUAGAACAGUAAUGUUACAUAAUCAGUUUUGUCAGAGAAGGUAUCUUAAAUUAGGCAAUCUCAUCCAUAUAACUUUUAACAUAUCUACAAAAGCGACACUUUUUAAACUUUUUUUUUGUCUAUAGAAUUAAACCUAGUAUUCCAGGCACGCAGGUUAAGGGCUCUACCACUGGCCAACAACUCCCAGCAACUCUAACACUUCCAAGACAAGUUUUCAUUGCCUACUUCCAAAAGAAAUACCAAGAUUUUUUUUUUAAUUUUAUUGAUCAAAUGUGCUUUCUGACAAUUCAUAUAUUGUGUGAUUCGUAUAUUCUGUACUCUAAUUACUUACUGUCCUAGUUAGGGUUUCCAUUGCUGUGAAGAGACACCAUCAUCAAGUGUCUUAUAAAAGACAUUUAGUUGUGGCUGCCUUACAGAUUCAGAGGUUCAGCCCAUUAUCAUCAAGGCAGGAAGCAUGGCAGCAUCCAGGCAGGCGUGGCACUACAGAAGGAGCUUAGAGUUCUAUGUCCUUCUCUGACUGCAUUCAGAAGAAGACUGGCUCCAGGCAGCAAGGAAAAAAGUCUCAAAGCCCACCCCAAAACUAACACACUUCCUCCAAGGCUUUACCUCCUAAUAGUGCUGUUUCCUGAGUCAUAUUCAAACCGACACAUUCCACUCCCUGGCACCCAUAGGCUUGUUUAAAUACAUGAGUCUGUGGGGGCCAUACCUAGCAAGUACAUUUAGUCCAACUUCAAAUGUUCCAUAGUCUAUAAGAGUUUCAACAACGUUAAAAGUUCAAAGUUCGAAGUUGGGGAUUUAGCUCAGUGGUAGAGCGCUUGCCUAGGAAGCGCAAGGCCCUGGGUUCGGUCCCCAGCUCCGAAAAAAAAGAACAAAAAAAAAAAAGUUCAAAGUUCAAAAAUUCUUCUGAGAUUUAAUCACUUAACUGCAAUCCCAUAUAAAGUCAAAAAUCCAAAAGCAGAUCACAUACCUCCAACUUCACAGGAUAUACAUGAUAAUUCCAAAACAUCAUAGUAAGGAAAUAUUGGACCAAAGCAAGACCUAAAAACAGCUGGGCAAAUUCUAAACUGUGCAUCUUCAUGUUCUCCGCCUUUACAUGUUCUUGUUCCAAUGUCUGGGAUCCACACACAAUCUUCAAGGCUUCUCCAAGAGGCUCACAUCACUUCUCCAGCUCUGCCCUCUGUAGCACUCUAAGCUCAGGUUGAUCCACUCCACUGCCGCUGCUCUUCUUGGUGAUCAUCCAUGGUACUGACAUCUCCAAAACUCUGGGGUCGUCAACUGCAACUAGGCUUCACCAAUAGCCUCACAUAGACUCCCUUUACAGUGCCAUGCCUCAACUUCUUUGUAUGACUCCUUCAGUCCUGGGCCAUCAACUGCAACUGAGGCUUCACCUUCACCAAUGGCCUCUUCUGGCCUCUAAUAGUGACAAGUCUCAGCUGCUCUCCAUGACCCCUACAUGCCUUCAAAACCAGUGCCAUCUGGGUGAUUCUUGCACAUUACCAAGUCCAGCUGCAGCACCCAUAUAACCUUCCCAAUCUCUGGAACAGAGCUUCUUCAUGCUCUCAGAAAACACUUCCCAGAGGACUGCACUUCAGUGAUGCUGGACUCUUCUUAAUCACCACUGACUUCUUCGCUCCAGCUGACCACCAUCAAUUGUCCCAGUUAUACCUUCUAUUCUUGACUCUAAAGCCAAAGCCACAUGGCCAAAGCUGCCUAGUUCUGCUGCUUGUUGGAGCUGGAACUUGGCCCCCUUCUUUUAUUGCAUUAUUACCAGCUUUCUGUUUUCCAACUCCUUUACUGCCUAAGCUUGGCUAACCUGGAACUUACUCUGUAAAUUGAACUUGAGCUCAGAGAUCUGCAUGGUUCUGUCUCCUGAAGGCUGAGAAUAAAAGUAAGAUUCACUA
Non-coding RNA from Rattus norvegicus (Norway rat), 2854 nucleotides. Lineage: Eukaryota; Metazoa; Chordata; Mammalia; Rodentia; Muridae. The record is from RefSeq and is a predicted model, not a curated record.